UCCUACGGGAGGCAGCAGUGGGGAAUAUUGGACAAUGGACCACAAGUCUGAUCCAGCAAUUCUGUGUGCACGAUGACGUUUUUCGGAAUGUAAAGUGCUUUCAGUCGGGAAGAAGUCAGUGACGGUACCGACAGAAGAAGCGACGGCUAAAUACGUGCCAGCAGCCGCGGUAAUACGUAUGUCGCAAGCGUUAUCCGGAUUUAUUGGGCGUAAAGCGCGUCUAGGCGGCAAGGAAAGUCUGAUGUGAAAAUGCGGAGCUCAACUCCGUAUGGCGUUGGAAACUGCCUUACUAGAGUACUGGAGAGGUAGGCGGAACUACAAGUGUAGAGGUGAAAUUCGUAGAUAUUUGUAGGAAUGCCGAUGGGGAAGCCAGCCUACUGGACAGAUACUGACGCUAAAGCGCGAAAGCGUGGGUAGCAAACAGGAUUAGAUACCCUGGUAGAAG
Molecule: ribosomal RNA, 445 nt
Filed under: uncultured bacterium
Lineage: Bacteria
Description: bacterial SSU rRNA
Rfam family: Bacterial small subunit ribosomal RNA
Source: RNAcentral